ACAAUAAGAAGUAAUUAAGAGCGUAUGGCGGAUGCCUUGGCUCUCAGAGGCGAUGAAGGACGUGAUAAGCUGCGAUAAGUCAUGGAGAGGUGCAAAUAACCUUUGACCCGUGAAUUUCCGAAUGGGGCAACCCACCUGUUUUAAUAGGUAUCCAGCAAUGGAAGCAAACCCGGAGAACUGAAACAUCUAAGUACCCGGAGGAGAAGAAAACAAAAGUGAUUCCCCUAGUAGUGGCGAUCGAACGGGGAUCAGCCCAAACCUAUAUUGUUUCGGCAAUGUAGGGGUUGUAGGACUGCAAUACGAGAAGUGGCGUGAAGUGGAAGUGUUUGGAAAGACACACCGCAGGGGG
RNAcentral lists this ribosomal RNA (349 nucleotides) under Labilibaculum manganireducens. RNAcentral describes it as "bacterial LSU rRNA". It matches the Rfam family "Bacterial large subunit ribosomal RNA", at positions 1 to 364 of the family's 2925-position model. Lineage: Bacteria; Pseudomonadati; Bacteroidota; Bacteroidia; Marinilabiliales; Marinifilaceae. The record is from RNAcentral.